This 834-nucleotide ribosomal RNA is filed under the name uncultured marine bacterium. RNAcentral describes it as "bacterial SSU rRNA". It matches the Rfam family "Bacterial small subunit ribosomal RNA", at positions 56 to 940 of the family's 1533-position model. The record is from RNAcentral.
UGCAGUCGAACGAAGUACAAUACUUAGUGGCAGACGGGUGAGUAACAUGUAGGUAUCUGCCCUUUGGCCUGGAAUAACACGAGGAAACUUGUGCUAAUACCGGAUAAGUCUUUACGGAGAAAGCUUUAUGCACCAUUGGAUGAGCCUGCACUUGAUUAGUUUGUUGGUGGGGUAAUGGCCUACCAAGACUGUGAUCAAUAGCUGAUUUGAGAGGAUGAUCAGCCACAUUGGGACCGAGACACGGCCCAAACUCCUACGGGAGGCAGCAGUGGGGAAUCUUGCACAAUGGAGGAAACUCUGAUGCAGCGAUGCCGCGUGAGUGAAGAAGGCCUCUGGGUUGUAAAGCUCUUUCGUCGGGGAAGAAAAUGACUGUACCCGAAUAAGAAGGUCCGGCUAACUUCGUGCCAGCAGCCGCGGUAAUACGAAGGGACCUAGCGUAGUUCGGAAUUACUGGGCUUAUAGAGUUCGUAGGUGGUUGAAAAAGUUGGUGGUGAAAUCCCAGAGCUUAACUCUGGAACUGCCAUCAAAACUUUUCAGCUAGAGUAUGAUAGAGGAAAGCAGAAUUUCUAGUGUAGAGGUGAUAUUCGUAGAUAUUAGAAAGAAUACCAAUUGCGAAGGCAGCUUUCUGGAUCAUUACUGACACUGAGGAACGAAAGCAUGGGUAGCGAAGAGGAUUAGAUACCCUCGUAGUCCAUGCCGUAAACGAUGUGUGUUAGACGUUGGAAAUUUAUUUUCUGUGUCGCAGCGAAAGCGAUAAACACACCGCCUGGGGAGUACGACCGCAAGGUUAAAACUCAAAUGAAUUGACGGGGACCCGCACAAGUAGUGGAGCAU